GGAGAAAAGCAGGGGAUCGCAAGACCUUGCGCUUUUAGAGCGGCCGAUGCCUGAUUAGCUUGUUGGUGAGGUAAAAGCUCACCAAGGCUUCGAUCAGUAGCUGGUCUGAGAGGACGACCAGCCACACUGGGACUGAGACACGGCCCAGACUCCUACGGGAGGCAGCAGUGGGGAAUUUUGGACAAUGGGGGCAACCCUGAUCCAGCCAUGCCGCGUGAGUGAAGAAGGCCUUCGGGUUGUAAAGCUCUUUCAGCCGGAACGAAACGGUCACGGCUAAUACCUGUGACUACUGACGGUACCGGAAGAGGAAGCACCGGCUAACUACGUGCCAGCAGCCGCGGUAAUACGUAGGGUGCGAGCGUUAAUCGGAAUUACUGGGCGUAAAGCGUGCGCAGGUGGUUUUGUAAGUCAGAUGUGAAAUCCCCGGGCUUAACCUGGGAACUGCGUUUGAAACUACAAAGCUA
This 464-nucleotide ribosomal RNA is filed under the name uncultured ammonia-oxidizing bacterium. RNAcentral describes it as "bacterial SSU rRNA". It matches the Rfam family "Bacterial small subunit ribosomal RNA", at positions 198 to 643 of the family's 1533-position model. The record is from RNAcentral.